UUCAGAUGAUUGAGAGCGGCAUUUAUUUUACAACAGUAUUCGUAAUCAAAGGUAUCAUGCUAGGUUCUAAGAUCUUGUCCCUUUUGUUUUCAGCUUCUUGACCGCUUUCGAAGGUGACUGAUGAAUGUGCUCCAGUUGAUGUCUCCUCGAUCUCAAAUGUAUAUUAUUACGUGGAUUAGGAUUAUCGUUAGUUCUUAACCAACAGUUCUUGUUCUCAUGUAUCUCAUACCAUGUCCUAAUAUUAACCACAAACAUCAUUAUAUGGUUCACAAUCUGUUGAUUGGAA
This is a long non-coding RNA of Capsicum annuum, 286 nucleotides long. RefSeq lists it as uncharacterized. Lineage: Eukaryota; Viridiplantae; Streptophyta; Magnoliopsida; Solanales; Solanaceae. The transcript has 2 exons. The record is from RefSeq and is a predicted model, not a curated record.